GGGGAAUAUUGGACAAUGGGCGCAAGCCUGAUCCAGCAAUGCCGCGUGGGUGAUGAAGGCCUUCGGGUUGUAAAGCCCUUUUGGCGGGGACGAUGAUGACGGUACCCGCCGAAUAAGCUCCGGCUAACUUCGUGCCAGCAGCCGCGGUAAUACGAAGGGAGCUAGCGUUGUUCGGAAUUACUGGGCGUAAAGGGCGCGUAGGCGGCUUCGAUAGUCAGGCGUGAAAUCCCCAGGCUCAACCUGGGAAUUGCGCUUGAUACUGCGAGGCUUGAGUGAGGGAGAGGAUAGUGGAAUUCCCAGUGUAGAGGUGAAAUUCGUAGAUAUUGGGAAGAACACCAGUGGCGAAGGCGGCUAUCUGGACCUCAACUGACGCUGAGGCGCGAAAGCGUGGGGAGCAAAC
RNAcentral lists this ribosomal RNA (400 nucleotides) under uncultured bacterium. Its description in RNAcentral is "bacterial SSU rRNA". It matches the Rfam family "Bacterial small subunit ribosomal RNA", at positions 356 to 773 of the family's 1533-position model. The record is from RNAcentral.